UUAUGACUGAGUGGCGGACGGGUGAGUAACGCGUGGGCAACCUGCCCCAUACCGGGGGACAACAGCUGGAAACGGCUGCUAAUACCGCAUACGUUCUGAAAACCGCAUGGUUUUUAGAAGAAAACUCCGGUGGUAUGGGAUGGGCCCGCGUCUGAUUAGCUGGUUGGCGGGGUAACGGCCCACCAAGGCGACGAUCAGUAGCCGGCCUGAGAGGGCGGCCGGCCACAUUGGGACUGAGACACGGCCCAGACUCCUACGGGAGGCAGCAG
Molecule: ribosomal RNA, 269 nt
Filed under: uncultured bacterium
Lineage: Bacteria
Description: partial 16S ribosomal RNA
Rfam family: Bacterial small subunit ribosomal RNA
Source: RNAcentral